ACCUGAGCUGAGAUCAAGAGUUGGACACUUCACCAACUGAGCCACCCAGGCGCCCCCACAACUUACAUUUCUACCGAUAGUGCAUGAGGGUCAUUAUUCCGUUGUUAUGGAUGAAGAAACUGAGAUAGAGAGAGGGCAAAUAAUUUUCCUAUAGUCACUCAUGGUUAAUAUAUUUUGAAACAUCACUAGAUAUUAAUAUGCUAUUUUUAAUUUAAAUUACAGUUAUUCAAAGUUACAAAAAGUUAUACAUGAAAUACCUGGUGAAUAAAUUUUGAAUGAUCAAAUUUGUUAUAUAGAGAGAUACAACAAAAAGAAAUGUGUGCCAGGACUGAUUUUUAUUUGUUUGUUUUCUAUUUUUCUUUUGCAAACUAAAGAAGCCCUGAGGACAGAACUCUGGUCACUGCAGAGUAAAAGGCAUUAACAUAGCAAGUAAAAGACUUGAAGGUCAAUGCUAAGAAGAAAUUGGAGUCGGGGAGAGUAAGGAGAUGGAUACUGAAAUGAAAGAGGUAGAGUCCCUGCUCUUGAAGCACCCAUGAUCUGGUGGAGGAGAUUGGCACAGAGACCAUUGACUCCAGCAUGUGAAAAGCACUAUAACGAAGGUGCGUAUGAGGUACCACGAAAGGACUAAGGAAGGCUCCCUGCCUUGCCUUGGGGAAAAUAGGCAAAGUGGCAUUUAAGCUGGACCUUGAGGGAUAGGUGGGAUCCUCCACGGAGAGAAGGGGGAAAGAGUAUGGCAGGUAAAGGGAACUGCAGGCACAAAAGGCAAUGGAAAAUGAAACCUGAAGGCAUAUCGGGUUUGGAGAAAAGCAAUAGUUUGAAAUGAGAAAAGGGUGGUGCAGCAGGAGGUGAGAGUGGAAGCAGCUUUGAGAGGCUUUGCCAGGAGCUGAGGUGCCACAGGAGGUGGGUGAGCAGAGUAACAGGGUCAGGGCUAUGGCAACCAUUCUGGUUUAACUCACCUCGACAAGUUAAUGAGGAGAGCCUGAGACUUGCCACAGUUUCAAAAACCCCUGAGCUCAAACUGGUUCUGCCUAGCUCUGUUUAUCGUUGAUUUGUUUUUGCUUGGGCUGUUGGUUCUAGAAGGGGCAGGAAGCGGCCCUAGCAAAAUACUAGCUGUUUUCCUGUGAAAUAGAAAGAACACCACGUAGGCUCGCUUGUCCAUUGUUAUUGCUACCCACAUGAGAGGUACUCUGUUGGGAUGCCUUUAGCUGCAACUGAGAGAAAAAUCGAGUUGCAUAAGGAAUUUAUCAGCUCAUGAUGUUAGAAAGUCCAGAGGCGGCUAGUUUCAGGUGAGGCUCGAUCUAGCAGCAAAAACAAUGCCUUUCUCUUCUUCCCUGCUCUCUUCUUAAGAAAGCUGACUCCCUUUGGGGUCCCAGGAUGACUUAACACAGCUCCCAGGGCUACCUGCUUUCUCAUUCACACUCAGCAGGAAAGAGAGCAUCUUUGUCUUUGUCUGAGAGUCACCCUGAUUACAACAGCUUUGGUCACAUGCACCCUUUAAAUCAAUCAUAGUGACAGUGGAUAAAAUGCAGUGAUUACCUUAGCUUUCAGGGGUCUACUGCUUGACCUCUGAAGUCAGGAAAAGAGUUGUCUUCCCUAGGGCCACACAGACUUCCAAACGUAAAUAAAACAGGACUACUGGAAAAGUGAAAAGGGGUCAAUGAACAGCCAUCUUCGGCAGUCAGGUAUUAGAGGUUCAGAGGACUCGCUCAGUUAAAGCCUUGGUUUUCACAUAACCUCCUUCAUCGUUGUUAGUGCCCCCCCCCCAA
Herpailurus yagouaroundi (jaguarundi) is the source of this 1766-nucleotide long non-coding RNA. RefSeq lists it as uncharacterized. The transcript is spliced from 2 exons. NCBI's taxonomy places the organism in Eukaryota, Metazoa, Chordata, Mammalia, Carnivora, Felidae. The record is from RefSeq and is a predicted model, not a curated record.